GUGCUCACUUCAGCAGCACAUAUACUAAAAUUGGAAAUGAUACAAAGAAGAUUAGCAUGGUUCCUGUGCAAGGAUGACAUGCAAAUUUGUGAAGCAUUCCAUAUUUUU
Molecule: small nuclear RNA, 108 nt
Organism: Symphalangus syndactylus (siamang)
Lineage: Eukaryota; Metazoa; Chordata; Mammalia; Primates; Hylobatidae
Source: RefSeq, a predicted model, not a curated record